Molecule: transfer RNA, 74 nt
Filed under: Ricinus communis (castor bean)
Lineage: Eukaryota; Viridiplantae; Streptophyta; Magnoliopsida; Malpighiales; Euphorbiaceae
Rfam family: tRNA
About the family: Transfer RNA (tRNA) molecules are approximately 80 nucleotides in length. Their secondary structure includes four short double-helical elements and three loops (D, anti-codon, and T loops).
Source: Rfam by way of RNAcentral
ACGCUGUUAGUUCUGUUCGGUAGAACGUGGGUCUCCAAAACCUGAUAAUGUAGGUUCAAAUCCUACAGAGCGUG